AUGGGGAGGAGUUUAAGAGCGGGACGCCAUGCAGAACUGGAAGACUCUGUGGCAGAUCCUGUCAGCGAAAAGCAAGCCUUCAGAGGGUGGAAGCAGUAUGUGAAAGAACUCAACUCGAACACACUCCCGCCAUUUCUCACCCGCCUUUGUGACCCUGACAAGCCAUGCUCAUACUCUGAGGAGGAGCUCUUAUGCGUGUUUGAGACUGCUGCCGAAGUCCAUGGCUGCAACAUUGUGCCACAUAUCAGCCAGAUCGUUUCAGCCAUCAUUAGAAUCAUGUCAUCAGUCACAGGGUCCUUGCAUAGUGUUGGUUGCUCCAAGGUGAUACGCACAUUAUCGCGCUAUGUCAUUGAUCCCCUGGGAACAGAAGAAGAGAAAAGUGGGAUCAUCAGCUCUCUCUGCAGUCCCUUUUCUGGUUGCUUGAUGAGCACCAAGGAGAGUGUAUCUUCUGGUUCUGCUCUCUGCGUCACUGCACUUAUCCAGUCCAACAAUUGGCAAUUUGCAUCUCAUGAGUUAGUUAACGACAUCUGCUUAAAAGUCUCAGGGGCCUUAGAGGAGGUAUGCUGCCAGACCAUUUCACACUUAGGCUUAGUGGUUGCUCUAUUAGAACAGAACUGGUUGACACUUGAGCCUUAUGGGCGGUCUUUGAUAAGAUCAGGCUUAAGUAUAUUGGACAAGAGUACUAAAGCAAGCAAUUCUCAGAUGAUCAUAUCAUCCAUUCAAAUGAUACACUCCAUCAUGAAGACUCUGGAUUUGAGCAUCAUAUCUUCUGAGAUCAGUAGCAUUAUCCAAGCUAUGGAGCAAUUGCGGAAUAAUCGCAUGCCAGAGAUCAGCACUCCAGCUUUUCAGGCAGCUGAGACUGCUAAUAAACUGUACAAGCAGGAAGAGUGUGGACAUGGCAAAAAAAUUAGUCCAUUGGCAAAAUUUCAUGAUGGAAGACAUAGGAGGAGGGGAUCAUAUUCACAUUCUGUUAUGGAUGAUGCGGAGAUAAGAGACUGCGGUUCGAAUGAAUCUCUGUACGAUGAUACACAAUCUGUUAAUCGGUUCAGAGAGCAUGAUUCCCAACCUUCAGUGGGGCAAUACUCAGGUGUACCUGUAAGUGCACGGGUAAGGAGGCGACUGUUGAGCAAUGGUUCUGACAGACCACAUCAAAUGUCCAGUGAUGAGUUUCCUCGCACUAUUGUAUCUGAUUAUCGUGAUGGUGUCGGUGUGAUAGCACAAUAUGGUUCUGCUGGUCUGCUAGAUAAAUCAGUGAGGAGGUAUUCAGAUGUAUCAACAAGGAUUGCUGAUCCAUGCCCUAUGUGUUUAACACCCCGAACUACUAAUCGAUGCUCUCAGAUAUCAAGGCGAGGAACUUUCUCAGAAGACGUUUGGAUGCAGUCAACCCCAAGGAAGCAGCUCCAGUUUCAUAGCUCUAGCAGUGAAUCAAAAAGAGAUACUCACAGAUUACCGGACAGCCCAUCUCUGAGACCGAUACGGCACUGUUCAGGACAAUGUACAAAUGGUGAAGUUGAGGAAAGGAACGGCUACUGUGAUUCUGUUCAGCAUGACAGCCAGUGUCAUGUACAGAGCAACGAUACCUCGAUAGAAGAUCUGAAGCUACCACCAACCAACAGUGAGCGUUCUGACAGUGCAGGCAAAUCUCGAAGCGAAGAAUGUCAAGCUCAGAACGAGAAGAUGACCAGAGUCAGGAAAAGGAGCAGAAACUGCUCUGGCACCCUACUUUUUCUCCUUGUCUGUGCUGUGGUGAUACCGGUUGUUGCGCUCUUGCUAGCUUGGUGGAAGGAGGAUCAGAGGGAGCUGUAUGUUGUACCCACGUAG
RNAcentral lists this ribosomal RNA (1821 nucleotides) under Triticum aestivum (bread wheat). RNAcentral describes it as "partial small subunit ribosomal RNA". Lineage: Eukaryota; Viridiplantae; Streptophyta; Magnoliopsida; Poales; Poaceae. The record is from RNAcentral.